RNAcentral lists this ribosomal RNA (100 nucleotides) under uncultured bacterium. RNAcentral's name for it is "partial 16S ribosomal RNA". It matches the Rfam family "Bacterial small subunit ribosomal RNA", at positions 1384 to 1482 of the family's 1533-position model. The record is from RNAcentral.
UACACACCGCCCGUCAAGUCAUGGGAGCUGGGAGCACCCGAAGUCCGCUUAGCUAACCGCAAGGGGGCGGCGGCCGACGGUGAGCUCGGUGACUGGGACU